This is a long non-coding RNA of Melitaea cinxia (Glanville fritillary), 100 nucleotides long. RefSeq lists it as uncharacterized. NCBI's taxonomy places the organism in Eukaryota, Metazoa, Arthropoda, Insecta, Lepidoptera, Nymphalidae. The record is from RefSeq and is a predicted model, not a curated record. The transcript is spliced from 3 exons.
UGAAAUGAAAACGAACAAAAAAAAUAUUCUUGUAAUUAGGAAAACAACUUAAAGUUAAAACGACAUAUUAUUAAAUGAAUUUCAAUAUGUUUAUUGCAAA